Molecule: ribosomal RNA, 447 nt
Filed under: Capnodiales sp. CCFEE 5177
Lineage: Eukaryota; Fungi; Ascomycota; Dothideomycetes; Capnodiales
Description: mitochondrial SSU rRNA
Rfam family: Bacterial small subunit ribosomal RNA
Source: RNAcentral
AAUUUUGUGAUAUGUAUCAACUUACCGUUGAAUAAAAUUCUGGGUAGAUGAUUGAUGAUGACAAAUAUCUAUUCACAUAUCUUGACCAAUGUUUGUGCCUGCUAUCGCGGCAACACAAGUAAGAUUAGUGUUAUUCAUCUUUAUUAGGUUUAAAGGGUACCUAGACGGCAAAAGCAACUUCUAAAAAGUAUAUCUUUGCUAGAGUUUUAUGUGAGAGGAAAAUAUUAGGACUAUUGGUGUAGGGAUGAAAUCCCUUGAUACUAAUAGAAUGNGUAACGGCGAAGACAACCCUCUAUGUAUAAACUGACGUUGAGGGACGAAGGCUUGGGGAGCAAACAGGAUUAGAUACCCUAGUAGUCCAGGCAGAAAAUCAUGAAUGUUAUAGGUUAGAUUAUAAAUUGGCGUAUAAAUGAAAGUGUAAGCAUUCCACCUCAAGAGUAAGGCGGC